AUUGAACGCUGGCGGCAUGCUUUACACAUGCAAGUCGAACGGUAACAGGCCUUCGGGUGCUGACGAGUGGCGAACGGGGGAGUAAUGCAUCGGAACGUACCCAGAGGUUGGGGAUAACGCAGCGAAAGCUGUGCUAAUACCGCAUGUGAUCUGAGGAUGAAAGCGGGGGACCGAGCAGCAAUGUUUGGCCUCGCGCCUUUGGAGCGGCCGAUGUCGGAUUAGCUAGUUGGUGGGGUAAAGGCCUACCAAGGCGACGAUCCGUAGCUGGUCUGAGAGGACGACCAGCCACACUGGGACUGAGACACGGCCCAGACUCCUACGGGAGGCAGCAGUGGGGAAUUUUGGACAAUGGGCGCAAGCCUGAUCCAGCAAUGCCGCGUGCGGGAAGAAGGCCUUCGGGUUGUAAACCGCUUUUGGCAGGAACGAAACGGUGCCCGCUAAUACCGGGCGCUAAUGACGGUACCUGCAGAAUAAGCACCGGCUAACUACGUG
This 492-nucleotide ribosomal RNA is filed under the name uncultured bacterium. RNAcentral describes it as "partial 16S ribosomal RNA". It matches the Rfam family "Bacterial small subunit ribosomal RNA", at positions 29 to 507 of the family's 1533-position model. The record is from RNAcentral.